RNAcentral lists this ribosomal RNA (468 nucleotides) under uncultured bacterium. Its description in RNAcentral is "partial 16S ribosomal RNA". It matches the Rfam family "Bacterial small subunit ribosomal RNA", at positions 28 to 507 of the family's 1533-position model. The record is from RNAcentral.
GACGAACGCUGGCGGCGUGCUUAACACAUGCAAGUCGAACGGAAAGGCCCUGCUUUUGUGGGGUGCUCGAGUGCCGAACGGGUGAGUAACACGCGAGUAACCUGCCCUUGACUUUGGGAUAACUUCAGGAAACUGGGGCUAUUACCGGAUAGGAGCUCCUGCAGCAUGGUGGGGGUUGGAGAGUUUCGGCGGUUGUGGAUGUAUUCGCGGCUUAUCAGCUUGUUGGUGGGGUAGUGGCUUACCAAGGCUUUGACGGGUAGCCGGCCUGGGAGCGGGGCCGGGGACAAGGGUACUACGGGAGGGACCAGUCGCCAACGGGAGGCAGUGGGGGAGAACAUGGCACAACAGGGCGGAGUCAGUGACAGCAGCGCCGCGUGCGUGAAGACGGCUUUCGAGGUAAAAACCGCUUUGUCCUUAGACGAAGCGGGAGUGACGGUAAUGAGUAAAGAAGCACCGGCUAACUACGUG